This 433-nucleotide ribosomal RNA is filed under the name uncultured bacterium. RNAcentral's name for it is "partial 16S ribosomal RNA". It matches the Rfam family "Bacterial small subunit ribosomal RNA", at positions 29 to 507 of the family's 1533-position model. The record is from RNAcentral.
AACGAACGCUGGCGGCAUGCCUAACACAUGCAAGUCGAACGAGACCUUCGGGUCUAGUGGCGCACGGGUGCGUAACGCGUGGGAACCUGCCCUUAGGCUCGGAAUAACUCCCCGACAGGGGUGCUAAUGCCGGAUAAUGUCUUCGGACCAAAGAUUUAUCGCCUUUGGGUGGGCCCGCGUUGGAUUAGCUAGUUGGUAGGGUAAAAGCCUACCAAGGCGACGAUCCAUAGCUGGUCUGAGAGGAUGAUCAGCCACACUGGGACUGAGACACGGCCCAGACUCCUACGGGAGGCAGCAGUGGGGAAUAUUGGACAAUGGGCGAAAGCCUGAUCCAGCAAUGCCGCGUGAGUGAUGAAGGCCUUAGGGUUGUAAAGCUCUUUUACCCGGGAUGAUAAUGACAGUACCGGGAGAAUAAGCUCCGGCUAACUCCGUG